UCCGUAGGUGGAUUAAUAAGUCAGAGGUGAAAUCCUGCAGCUUAACUGUAGAACUGCCUUUGAUACUGUUAAUCUUGAGUCAUUAUGAAGUGGUUAGAAUGUGUAGUGUAGCGGUGAAAUGCAUAGAUAUUACACAGAAUACCGAUUGCGAAGGCAGAUCACUAAUAAUGUACUGACACUGAGGGACGAAAGCAUGGGGAGCGAACAGGAUUAGAUACCCUGGUAGUCC
This 229-nucleotide ribosomal RNA is filed under the name uncultured bacterium. Its description in RNAcentral is "partial 16S ribosomal RNA". It matches the Rfam family "Bacterial small subunit ribosomal RNA", at positions 568 to 796 of the family's 1533-position model. The record is from RNAcentral.